GGGCGAGUGGCGGAAUUGGUAUACGCGCAUGGUUUAGGACCAUGUUCCUAACGGAUUGAGGGUUCAAGUCCCUCCUCGCCCA
Molecule: transfer RNA, 82 nt
Filed under: hydrothermal vent metagenome
Description: tRNA-Leu-TAG
Rfam family: tRNA
About the family: Transfer RNA (tRNA) molecules are approximately 80 nucleotides in length. Their secondary structure includes four short double-helical elements and three loops (D, anti-codon, and T loops).
Source: RNAcentral